RNAcentral lists this ribosomal RNA (523 nucleotides) under Rossellomorea vietnamensis. Its description in RNAcentral is "bacterial SSU rRNA". It matches the Rfam family "Bacterial small subunit ribosomal RNA", at positions 9 to 513 of the family's 1533-position model. The record is from RNAcentral. Lineage: Bacteria; Bacillati; Bacillota; Bacilli; Caryophanales; Bacillaceae.
GAGUUUGAUCCUGGCUCAGGACGAACGCUGGCGGCGUGCCUAAUACAUGCAAGUCGAGCGGAUUGAUGGGAGCUUGCUCCCUGAUAUCAGCGGCGGACGGGUGAGUAACACGUGGGUAACCUGCCUGUAAGACUGGGAUAACUCCGGGAAACCGGGGCUAAUACCGGAUAACUCAUUUCCUCGCAUGAGGAAAUGUUGAAAGAUGGCUUCUUGCUAUCACUUACAGAUGGACCCGCGGCGCAUUAGCUAGUUGGUGAGGUAACGGCUCACCAAGGCAACGAUGCGUAGCCGACCUGAGAGGGUGAUCGGCCACACUGGGACUGAGACACGGCCCAGACUCCUACGGGAGGCAGCAGUAGGGAAUCUUCCGCAAUGGACGAAAGUCUGACGGAGCAACGCCGCGUGAGUGAUGAAGGUUUUCGGAUCGUAAAGCUCUGUUGUUAGGGAAGAACAAGUGCCGUUCGAAUAGGGCGGCACCUUGACGGUACCUAACCAGAAAGCCACGGCUAACUACGUGCCAGCA